UGGGGAAUUUUGGACAAUGGGCGAAAGCCUGAUCCAGCAAUGCCGCGUGUGUGAAGAAGGCCUUCGGGUUGUAAAGCACUUUUGUCCGGAAAGAAAUCCUUGGCUCUAAUACAGUCGGGGGAUGACGGUACCGGAAGAAUAAGCACCGGCUAACUACGUGCCAGCAGCCGCGGUAAUACGUAGGGUGCAAGCGUUAAUCGGAAUUACUGGGCAUAAAGCGUGCGCAGGCGGUUUGCUAAGACCGAUGUGAAAUCCCCGGGCUCAACCUGGGAACUGCAUUGGUGACUGGCAGGCUAGAGUAUGGCAGAGGGGGGUAGAAUUCCACGUGUAGCAGUGAAAUGCGUAGAGAUGUGGAGGAAUACCGAUGGCGAAGGCAGCCCCCCUGGGGCCAAAUACUGACGCUCAUGCACGAAAGCGUGGGGAGCAAACAGGAUUAGAUACCCUGGUAGUCCACGCCCUAAAACGAUGUCAACUAGUUGUUGGGGAUUCAUUUCCUUAGUAACGUAGCUAACGCGUGAAGUUGACCGCCUGGGGAGUACGGUCGCAAGAUUAAAACUCAAAUGAAUUGACGGGGUCAUAGCUGUUUCCU
This 589-nucleotide ribosomal RNA is filed under the name uncultured bacterium. Its description in RNAcentral is "partial 16S ribosomal RNA". It matches the Rfam family "Bacterial small subunit ribosomal RNA", at positions 355 to 1375 of the family's 1533-position model. The record is from RNAcentral.